Molecule: small nuclear RNA, 293 nt
Filed under: Castor canadensis (American beaver)
Lineage: Eukaryota; Metazoa; Chordata; Mammalia; Rodentia; Castoridae
Description: 7SK RNA (ENSCCNG00000030788.1)
Rfam family: 7SK RNA
About the family: 7SK was discovered as an abundant small nuclear RNA in the mid-70s but a possible function has only recently been suggested. Two independent studies have found that 7SK RNA binds the CDK9/cyclin T complex (known as elongation factor P-TEFb). P-TEFb activates transcription by phosphorylating the C-terminal domain of RNA polymerase II.
Source: RNAcentral
GGAAAUAAGAUGGAUGUGACAUCUAUCUCCCCAUUGAUCACUAGGGUCGAUUCAGCAAUCUGGCUAGCUAGGCAGGUGUGCACUUCCUCCCUCACUACACCUUGUGCACACUCCUGAAGCUGCACACUCAGUCAAAGAGUACACUGUGCCCCAAUAGAGGAGGUCCAUCCUCAGUCAAGAGUAUACAAAUAGCUGUGCUUUCCUGCUAGAACUUCCAAACGCGGUCUCCAGGAAGGGAAUAAGAACUUCAUAAAUAUUAUCAUAACCACAGCCCUUCAACAGAAGUAUAAUCU